Molecule: unclassified non-coding RNA, 2352 nt
Filed under: Drosophila mojavensis
Lineage: Eukaryota; Metazoa; Arthropoda; Insecta; Diptera; Drosophilidae
Description: GI23286
Source: RNAcentral
UAUAAAUAUAACUGUUGGCCAUAAUUCCUUAAAAGUCGUCUACUACUAUCCCAAUAAGAUGAAGUUUAUUUGGCUCUUAGCAUUAUGUGCUGCAAUAGGCAAAUCUGCGGUCUGCUUUGACUCUGAACGUAAGAAUGGAUAGAAUGGCUGGUACAUACCUAGACCCGAUGACAGCUUUUUUUAGUUGGAUAGAAUUAUUACAGAGCAUUUGCUUGAAAAUUUAGAAAAGUUAAAGAGCCUUACACUGCAAAAAGCUCCGGUCGACUUCUACCUGUUCACAAAGUUAAACCCCACCAAGGGCACCAAGAUCACAGCCACCAGCAAGUCUAUUAAAAAAUCCAAUUUCGAUACCUAAAACCCUACAAGAUUUAUUAUCCACUGCUGGCUCCAGAGCAGAUCAUCGGACAUGAACAAAAACAUUCGUGAUGCCUGGCUGAGCAAUUGUGACUACAACGUCAUCGUCGUAGACUGGGCUAGUGCACGAUCCCCGGUUAUGCUACCCCUGUUGUGGCUGUACAUAUCGUAGGCAAGAAGGCCAACAUGAUCAACUACAGCACCGUUCGCAUGAGCGCUGAUAGCAAUGCCGACAAGGUCGAGGGUGUCUUCUAUGUGCCGGUGAACAGCGAAUCUCCCCACGGCAAUGCCAACUAUGUAGUAAUGUGACGCAAUCAAUCAAAUAAUUAGACUAGGUAAUCUAGUUGGGUUUACGACGCUAAUCAUAUAACUGAACGAUACACCUUGAGGCUAUAAUCCAUACUAUAGUGUGGUAUAUACAUACAUAUAUACUUAUACGGUAACCGGUACUGCUAUCAACAUAGUAAUUCAAGCAAUUCCAUUAGAAGCAAACAAUAUAUGGACUUGUCGUUUCCCACGCAGUGCAUAAAUCAUACGACAUUGAUGUAGGCCUCCACCGAUAAAGAUUUAUGAUCAGUGAUAAUUAUUAAUUAUACUUGUGGUUCACUAAAUGACUUCUAAUUGUAUGCCCAUUGCUCCUCAUUUUUCGAGGUGACCAUAUGUGCCUCCUAAAAGUAUGCAACAUGUGUGUGUAUGUUAUUCUAAUAUUGGAUUUUGUGUACUAUUUUUGCAUGUCAUUUAAUUCAUCUACUCUGCCAAUUAGCACGAACAGGAUAAUCAGCCAUGGAAAAAUCAUUAGCAAUAAUACGAGUACAACUCAGAGAGGUAAACACAAAAAGUGAGCAGUAAAGAAGGGGGCAGUGGGUGGCUGGGGCGGAAGUCUCUAAACAAAUUGAGUCACAGUUAAUAGGCUUUUGUUGGGUCAACCGUUCAUUGUUUACAUUACUCGUUUACACUCAGCAAAUUUGCUUCAAGCCACAGACAUAGACCAUAGCUGGCCGAAACUUCUUAUCAGUCGAAAUACCUCACAAUAUAAAACCCUUUUAGCUCUUAGCUUUCUGUUCCACGUACAUGGAAUUCCGCCAACUCUUUAACAAAUGCUAUUAAUUCAUACACAGCUUCGGCUGGCAGCUUAUGUUGGAUAGAUAAACAUGCGGCAGAACGUUGGCUUCGACGAAUUGAAAACGUACUGUUCAAUGACCAAAGUUCCUAUCGAAUUCUACCUGUUCACCAAGUCCAACCCCACCAAGGGUACCAAGAUCACAGCUACGAGCAAUUCAAUCGCCUCAUCCAACUUCAGUGCCUAUGAUCCAACGAGGAUUUAUUAUUCACGGCUAGACCCAGAGUAGCUCAUCGGACUUGCAGAAGAACGAUCGGGACGCCUGGCUGAGCAAUGGUGACUACAACGGCAUCGUUGUGGACUGGGCUAAUGCAUGUUCCAUGGACUAUAUUUCCUCCGUUGUGGCUAUACCCGGCGUAAGCCAGAAGGUCGCCAACAUGGUCAACUACCUUGACUUCCAUCAUGACUUGAGUCUCGACUACCCCAAGAAAAACUUUGGAACCAUGAAGUGCGAUAGCUAUAUGGCAGCCGUCAAUAAGAAGUGUGGCAACACCUACAGCACUAUUCGAAUGGGUGAUGAAGGCAAUGCCGACAGGGUCAAGGGUGCCUUUUAUGUGCCGGUGAACAGCAAUGCUCCCCACGGCAAUAUCAACUAAAUAAGAAUAAUAAUGUGACGCAAUCAAAAAAGUUACCGAAAACAAUCGAAUUCCGCUUUGCUUAAGGAAGCAUUUUUUGUGUAAGUAACUAAUCUUUGGGUUCACGACGCUAAUCAUAUAACUCGAAAAUACACAUUGAGUUUCUAAUCCAUACUAAGCCGUACACUAUAUGGCAAGCGAUACGUCUAUCAAUUUAGUAAUUGCUCAUGGAUCUAGCACUUCCCUUGCAAAUUUAAUCGAGUUUCAAGUGCUUUUAAGCCAAUAUAGAAGGAUGGUGUAGUA